GCAGCGGGGUACCGGGCUGCACCACAGUACGUGAACCUAGUGCUUUCUCUCGCAAUGGCAACUUAACGAGCAUGACAAGAAGGACUCCCAGGGAUAACACUUACGGGAAAAGUGGCGAUAACUUCUGGGAUAAGUGAAAGUGGUCAGGAUCGGAUCGUUCACGCCAUUUCCAGGGAAUUCUCGAAGGAAAUCCCUGAAAUUACCAAUCACCCAAUGAGCGUUGUUGUUAUUUUGACAUGUCUUUCAAAACCACUGCAUCACUGGUUGGACAGACAAACUUAAUUGUGAAUAAAAAUAUUACGUCUGUCAAAGCAAGGCGGUUGUAUAUUUUGGGGGUGUUUUUUUUUUUAUCUGGACCUACUUUUAGAGAGGCCGUAGCACUUUUUUUUACUGUUUUACUUUACCGGAUAUGACGCAAUUUAGACCCGGAAAGCGGUAGUCGGCGGGAUGGCGAGUGAUUUGUAAUUAUUGUAGUCAGUGCGGUAACGUUGGUCUCCAGAGGACAGCAUGUGCCGAUUUUAACAGUUACUUGAGAAGGGACUCUGAACUCGGAGCAGGAAGAUGAGUGCAGCCCUGGAAGACUCGGACUGUAACUCUUCUUUUGGGGGGCUGGCGCCCAGCAGUCCAGACCCCAUGAAUAAAGCCUGCUUAUUCGACGACAGCAUGGAGCUGUUUGACUCGUUAGAUGUCAGCAGGGGUUCAGAGCCCCCAAGUUUUCUUUCUAAAACCCCCAGCCCCGUUUUCUCGAAGGCGAACACGAGGUGUUUCAGAGCAGCAAGCAGAGAAGAGGAGAUUGAGAGUGUAAGUAGGUUUUACGAAGUUGGAAGAUAAGAUAAGAUCAC
Molecule: non-coding RNA, 842 nt
Organism: Lepisosteus oculatus (spotted gar)
Lineage: Eukaryota; Metazoa; Chordata; Actinopteri; Semionotiformes; Lepisosteidae
Source: RefSeq, a predicted model, not a curated record